This 1456-nucleotide ribosomal RNA is filed under the name bacterium EBAD27. RNAcentral's name for it is "bacterial LSU rRNA". It matches the Rfam family "Bacterial large subunit ribosomal RNA", at positions 1183 to 2469 of the family's 2925-position model. The record is from RNAcentral.
UCAGUACACCGCCGAAGUUGUGGCAUUCAAAUAUUAGCCAAGCGGAUGGUUUAUCCAUUUUCGUUCAAGCGUUUGGAUGGGUAGGGGAGCGUCGUGUGGGCAGUGAAGUCGCGGUGUAAACCAGCGGUGGAGCCUACACGAGUGAGAAUGCAGGCAUGAGUAGCGAAAGACGGGUGAGAAACCCGUCCGCCGAAUGAUCAAGGGUUCCAGGGUCAAGCUAAUCUGCCCUGGGUAAGUCGGGACCUAAGGCGAGGCCGACAGGCGUAGUCGAUGGACAACGGGUUGAUAUUCCCGUACCGGCGAAAAACCGCCAAUACUGAUCGGGGGAUACUAACCGCCCAAUACCUGACCGUUAGCCCUUGUGGCGACACGGUUUUUGGUGGAGCGCGGGACCUGAUCCCGGGAGGUAAGCGUAUUAACAGGUGUGACGCAGGAAGGUAGCCGGGCCGGGCGAUGGUUGUCCUGGUCUAAGGAUGUAGGGUCAGUGAUAGGUAAAUCCGUCACUGUGUCUUGGAUGACGCACCUGAGAUCUGACGGGACCCACCUUGGGUGGGAAUCCGGUGAUCCUAUGCUGCCUAGAAAAGCAUCGGCGCGAGGUUUUAGCCGCCCGUACCCCCAAACCGACACAGGUGAUCAGGUAGAGAAUACUAAGGCGAUCGAGAGAAUUAUGGUUAAGGAACUCGGCAAAAUGCCCCCGUAACUUCGGGAGAAGGGGGGCCCCAACCUUGAUGGACACUUGCUGUCCGGAGGGGAUCGGGGCCGCAGAGACCAGGGGGAAGCGACUGUUUACUAAAAAACACAGGUCCGUGCGAAGUCGCAAGACGAUGUAUACGGACUGACUCCUGCCCGGUGCUGGAAGGUUAAGAGGACCGGUUAGCCCUUUGGGGCGAAGCUGGGAAUUUAAGCCCCAGUAAACGGCGGUGGUAACUAUAACCAUCCUAAGGUAGCGAAAUUCCUUGUCGGGUAAGUUCCGACCUGCACGAAUGGAGUAACGACUUCCCCGCUGUCUCAACCAUAAACUCGGCGAAAUUGCAGUACGAGUAAAGAUGCUCGUUACGCGCAGCAGGACGGAAAGACCCCGAGACCUUUACUAUAGUUUGGUAUUGGUGUUCGGUGUGGCUUGUGUAGGAUAGGUGGGAGACUGUGAGACCCGGACGCCAGUUCGGGUGGAGUCAUCGUUGAAAUACCACUCUGGUCAUACUGGAUAUCUAACUUCGGCCCGUAAUCCGGGUCAGGGACAGUGCCUGAUGGGUAGUUUAACUGGGGCGGUUGCCUCCUAAAGAGUAACGGAGGCGCCCAAAGGUUCCCUCAGCCUGGUUGGCAAUCAGGUGGCGAGUGUAAGUGCACAAGGGAGCUUGACUGUGAGAGAGACAUCUCGAGCAGGGACGAAAGUCGGGACUAGUGAUCCGGCGGUACAUUGUGGAAUGGCCGUCGCUCAACGGAUAAAAGGUACCUC